AACCCGGAGGUCUUGUACUUCCUUCAAAUGCAAUGUUGUACAUAGCACCUAUAUAUUCAUGUUGCAGGUUUCAUAGCUAUGUAUGCUACACUUGCCAGUCGUGAUGUGGACUAUUGUUUGAUUCCAGAUUCCCCCUUUCUUUCUUAAAAUGACGAGGUGGACUUUUUGAGUUCAUUGAAAAACGACUUAGAAAAUGGACAUAUGGUUAUUGUGAUUGCUGAGGAAGCAGGACAUGAUCUUCUUUUAAAGAGCUUGCAAUCCAUGAACCAACAAGAUGCUUCAAGAAACAAGCAACUUAAAGACGUUGGGUUAUGGAUAUCUCAGAAGAUCAGGGUAUUACUCGCAAUCCUACAGAGUUAGUGCUUGGAAACUUCCAAAGCUAGACUCCAAUGAGGCCAUGAGAGCAGCAAAGCUUGCAAAGCUAGACACAAGUAAAUUUCUAGAUGUAUUCUGCUAUGAGAGUACUAUUAGAUGUACUCCUUUUGGGGAUAAAAGAUUAACUUUGCACAAUUCAUUUUGGUGCAUGAUGUGAAUUAUAACAAUUUCUUCUAUAUAUAUAUUGAUCAGUUAAUUUGGUCUUUUUUGAUUC
Molecule: long non-coding RNA, 589 nt
Organism: Rosa chinensis
Lineage: Eukaryota; Viridiplantae; Streptophyta; Magnoliopsida; Rosales; Rosaceae
Exons: 2
Source: RefSeq, a predicted model, not a curated record